UACGUAGGGGCCGAGCGUUGUCCGGAAUUAUUGGGCGUAAAGAGCUCGUAGGCGGUUCGGCAAGUCGGAUGUGAAAUCUCCACGCUUAACGUGGAGGGGCCAUUCGAAACUGCUGUGACUCGAGUCCGGUAGGGGAGUGUGGAAUUCCCGGUGUAGCGGUGAAAUGCGCAGAUAUCGGGAGGAACACCAGUGGCGAAGGCGGCUCUCUGGGCCGCUACUGACGCUGAGGAGCGAAAGCGUGGGGAGCGAACAGG
RNAcentral lists this ribosomal RNA (254 nucleotides) under uncultured bacterium. RNAcentral describes it as "partial 16S ribosomal RNA". It matches the Rfam family "Bacterial small subunit ribosomal RNA", at positions 524 to 776 of the family's 1533-position model. The record is from RNAcentral.